UCGGGAAUUUUGGGCAAUGGGCGAAAGCCUGACCCAGCAACGCCGCGUGAGGGAUGAAGUAUUUCGGUAUGUAAACCUCGAAAGAAUGGGAAGAAUAAAUGACGGUACCAUUUAUAAGCUCCGGCUAACUACGUGCCAGCAGCCGCGGUAAUACGUAGGGAGCAAGCGUUGUUCGGAUUUACUGGGCGUAAAGGGCGCGUAGGCGGCGCGGUAAGUCACUUGUGAAACCUCUGAGCUUAACUCAGAACGGCCAAGUGAUACUGCUGUGCUAGAGUGCGGAAGAGGCAACCGGAAUUCUUGGUGUAGCGGUGAAAUGCGUAGAUAUCAAGAGGAACACCUGAGGCGAAGGCGGGUUGCUGGGCCGACACUGACGCUGAUGCGCGAAAGCCAGGGGAGCAAACG
Molecule: ribosomal RNA, 402 nt
Filed under: uncultured bacterium
Lineage: Bacteria
Description: bacterial SSU rRNA
Rfam family: Bacterial small subunit ribosomal RNA
Source: RNAcentral